Long non-coding RNA from Sebastes umbrosus (honeycomb rockfish), 574 nucleotides. RefSeq lists it as uncharacterized. The record is from RefSeq and is a predicted model, not a curated record. The transcript has 2 exons. NCBI's taxonomy places the organism in Eukaryota, Metazoa, Chordata, Actinopteri, Perciformes, Sebastidae.
AGUAUCGUGAUAAUAUCGUAUCGUGGGGCUUCUGGGGAUUUACACCUCUAUUGCAGUUAGGUGUUUGGUGCUUCAUCCAUAAUAAUAAUUUACUACCUUUGCAAGUGGAAAGGGGAAGUUCUCUAUCAAAAAUUUCACCUCCAAACACUUUCCCUCAUCAGUGGAAGGGUCAUGAGUCAGACUGUCAAUAGUUCCCCUCAUGACUUUAUGGUCGCAUCUUAUGUCCAGUGCAUGUGUGGAUUGGCGCCUGUGGACAAUAUGUCUUUAGAAUCAUGGUCAGGCUAUAUAGAGCGUGUCGAUGUGCGAAUGAGACAAUCUAUCAUCCUUUUCAAUCCUAUUACAGCAACGUGUCAGUCUUUCUCUCCGCUUCCCAUCGCUGCCUCCUGAAAUAAACUGCAACUCAGUGAGUGGACUGACAGAGAUGAUGAUCCUUCCCCACACGCUGUUGAAGUUGCAGUGGAGUGCUGACACAUACAGAGAAACAGUAUGCAAGUUAACAAAUAUUGGAUUAUAGAGAAAGGAAGACCAGCUGAGUUUUGUCCGUGAGAUAAAGAGCACGCCGAGAUGUCAAUGG